GACGAACGCUGGCGGCGUGCUUAACACAUGCAAGUCGAACGCUGAAGCCCUUUCGGGGGUGGAUGAGUGGCGAACGGGUGAGUAACACGUGGGUAAUCUGCCCUGUACUUCGGGAUAAGCCUUGGAAACGGGGUCUAAUACCGGAUAGGACCUGUCCUCGCAUGGGGGUGGGUGGAAAGUUCCGGCGGUAUGGGAUGAGCCCGCGGCCUAUCAGCUUGUUGGUGGGGUAGUGGCCUACCAAGGCGACGACGGGUAGCCGGCCUGAGAGGGUGACCGGUCACACUGGGACUGGGACACGGCCCAGACUCCUACGGGAGGCCGCAGUGGGGAAUCUUGCGCAAUGGGCGAAAGCCUGACGCAGCAACGCCGCGUGGGGGAUGACGGCCUUCGGGUUGUAAACCUCUUUCGACAUCGACGAAGGGGCCCUGUUGUGGGGUUUUGACGGUAGGUGUAGAAGAAGCACCGGCUAACUACGUGCCAGCCGCCGCCGUAA
Molecule: ribosomal RNA, 493 nt
Filed under: uncultured bacterium
Lineage: Bacteria
Description: partial 16S ribosomal RNA
Rfam family: Bacterial small subunit ribosomal RNA
Source: RNAcentral